UGAGGAAUAUUGGUCAAUGGACGAGAGUCUGAACCAGCCAAGUAGCGUGAAGGAUGACUGCCCUAUGGGUUGUAAACUUCUUUUAUACGGGAAUAAAGUGAGGCACGUGUGCCUUUUUGUAUGUACCGUAUGAAUAAGGAUCGGCUAACUCCGUGCCAGCAGCCGCGGUAAUACGGAGGAUCCGAGCGUUAUCCGGAUUUAUUGGGUUUAAAGGGAGCGUAGGCGGACGCUUAAGUCAGUUGUGAAAGUUUGCGGCUCAACCGUAAAAUUGCAGUUGAUACUGGGUGUCUUGAGUACAGUAGAGGUGGGCGGAAUUCGUGGUGUAGCGGUGAAAUGCUUAGAUAUCACGAAGAACUCCGAUUGCGAAGGCAGCUCACUAGACUGCAACUGACACUGAUGCUCGAAAGUGUGGGUAUCAAACAGGAUUAGAUACCCUGGUAGUCCACACAGUAAACGAUGAAUACUCGCUGUUUGCGAUAUACAGUAAGCGGCCAAGCGAAAGCAUUAAGUAUUCCACCUGGGGAGUACGCCGGCAACGGUGAAACUCAAAGGAAUUGACGGGGGCCCGCACAAGCGGAGGAACAUGUGGUUUAAUUCGAUGAUACGCGAGGAACCUUACCCGGGCUUAAAUUGCAUUUGAAUAAUCUGGAAACAGGUUAGCCGCAAGGCAAAUGUGAAGGUGCUGCAUGGUUGUCGUCAGCUCGUGCCGUGAGGUGUCGGCUUAAGUGCCAUAACGAGCGCAACCCUUAUCUUUAGUUACUAACAGGUCAUGCUGAGGACUCUAGAGAGACUGCCGUCGUAAGAUGUGAGGAAGGUGGGGAUGACGUCAAAUCAGCACGGCCCUUACGUCCGGGGCUACACACGUGUUACAAUGGGGGGUACAGAAGGCAGCUACCUGGUGACGGGAUGCUAAUCCCAAAAACCUCUCUCAGUUCGGAUCGAAGUCUGCAACCCGACUUCGUGAAGCUGGAUUCGCUAGUAAUCGCGCAUCAGCCAUGGCGCGGUGAAUACGUUCCC
This 1017-nucleotide ribosomal RNA is filed under the name uncultured bacterium. RNAcentral describes it as "bacterial SSU rRNA". It matches the Rfam family "Bacterial small subunit ribosomal RNA", at positions 355 to 1375 of the family's 1533-position model. The record is from RNAcentral.